AGCGAACGCUGGCGGCAGGCCUAACACAUGCAAGUCGAGCGGCCGUAGCAAUACGGCAGCGGCAGACGGGAUAGUAACACGUGGGAACGCGCCCUUCGGUUCGGAAUAACUCAGGGAAACUUGAGCUAAUACCGGAUACGCCUUACGGGAAGGAUUAUUGCGAGGAACGGCCCGCGUCGGAUUAGCUAGUUGGUGAGGUAAUGGCUCACCAAGGCGACGAUCCGUAGCUGGUCUGAGAGGAUGACCAGCAUCACUGGGACUGAGACACGGCCCAGACUCCUACGGGAGGCAGCAGUGGGGAAGUAUUGGUACAAUGGGCGCAAGCCUGAUCCAGCCAUGCCGCGUGGAUGAUGAAGGCCCUAGGGUUGUAAAGCUCUUUCAGUAGGGGAAGAUAAUGACGGUACCUACAGAAGAAGCCCCGGCUAACUU
This 429-nucleotide ribosomal RNA is filed under the name uncultured bacterium. RNAcentral's name for it is "bacterial SSU rRNA". It matches the Rfam family "Bacterial small subunit ribosomal RNA", at positions 29 to 503 of the family's 1533-position model. The record is from RNAcentral.